GAAGCUGGCGGCAGGCCUAACACAUGCAAGUCGAGCGGGAAGCAUUCCUUCGGGGAUGUGGAGAGCGGCAGACGGGUGAGUAACACGUGGGAACCUACCCAGUAGUACGGAAUAACUCAGGGAAACUUGUGCUAAUACCGUAUACGUCCCCCUUUAGAGAUAUUGGGGGAGAAAGAUUUAUCGCUAUUGGAUGGGCCCGCGUUGGAUUAGCUAGUUGGUGGGGUAACGGCCUACCAAGGCUACGAUCCAUAGCUGGUCUGAGAGGAUGAUCAGCCACACUGGGACUGAGACACGGCCCAGACUCCUACGGGAGGCAGCAGUGGGGAAUAUUGGACAAUGGGCGCAAGCCUGAUCCAGCCAUGCCGCGUGAGUGAAGAAGGCCUUAGGGUUGUAAAGCUCUUUCACCGGUGAAGAUAAUGACGGUAACCGGAGAAGAAGCCCCGGCUAACUUCGUGCCAGCAGCCGCGGUAAU
Molecule: ribosomal RNA, 472 nt
Filed under: uncultured bacterium
Lineage: Bacteria
Description: bacterial SSU rRNA
Rfam family: Bacterial small subunit ribosomal RNA
Source: RNAcentral